AUUGAACGCUGGCGGCAGGCCUAACACAUGCAAGUCGAGCGAGCGGCGGACGGGUGAGCAAUAUAUCGGAAUGUGCCCGGUAGAUGGGGAUCACUACUGGAAACUGUGGCUAAUACCGCAUACUAUUGGAUCGGCCGAUAUGGGAUUAGCUAGUGGGUGGGGUAAAGGCUUACCAAGGCCACGAUCCGUAGCUGGUCUGAGAGGACGAUCAGCCACACUGGGACUGAGACACGGCCCAGACUCCUACGGGAGGCAGCAGUGGGGAAUUUUGGACAAUGGGCGAAAGCCUGAUGCAGCCAUGCCGCGUGUAUGAAGAAGGCCUUAGGGUUGUAAAGUACUUUUGGCAGGGAAGCGUUACCUGCAGAAUAAGCACCGGCUAACUCCGUGCCAGCAGCCGCGGUAAUAC
Molecule: ribosomal RNA, 406 nt
Filed under: uncultured bacterium
Lineage: Bacteria
Description: partial 16S ribosomal RNA
Rfam family: Bacterial small subunit ribosomal RNA
Source: RNAcentral